UCUGGCGGCACGCUUAACACAUGCAAGUCGAACGAGAGAAGAGGAGCUUGCUUUUCUGAUCUAGUGGCGGACGGGUGAGUAACACGUGAGCAAUCUGCCUUUCAGAGGGGGAUACCGAUUGGAAACGAUCGUUAAUACCGCAUAACAUAAUUGAACCGCAUGAUUUGAUUAUCAAAGAUUUAUCGCUGAAAGAUGAGCUCGCGUCUGAUUAGCUAGUUGGUAAGGUAACGGCUUACCAAGGCGACGAUCAGUAGCCGGACUGAGAGGUUGAUCGGCCACAUUGGGACUGAGACACGGCCCAGACUCCUACGGGAGGCAGCAGUGGGGAAUAUUGCACAAUGGAGGAAACUCUGAUGCAGCGAUGCCGCGUGAGGGAAGAAGGUUUUAGGAUUGUAAACCUCUGUCUUCAGGGACGAAAAAAGACGGUACCUGAGGAGGAAGCUCCGGCUAACUACGUGCCAGCAGCCGCGGUAAUACGUAGGGAGCGAGCGUUGUCCGGAAUUACUGGGUGUAAAGGGAGCGUAGGCGGGAUCGCAAGUCAGAUGUGAAAACUAUGGGCUUAACCCAUAAACUGCAUUUGAAACUGUGGUUCUUGAGUGAAGUAGAGGUAAGCGGAAUUCCUAGUGUAGCGGUGAAAUGCGUAGAUAUUAGGAGGAACAUCAGUGGCGAAGGCGGCUUACUGGGCUUUAACUGACGCUGAGGCUCGAAAGCGUGGGGAGCAAACAGGAUUAGAUACCCUGGUAGUCCACGCCGUAAACGAUGAUUACUAGGUGUGGGGGGACUGACCCCUUCCGUGCCGCAGCAAACGCAAUAAGUAAUCCACCUGGGGAGUACGACCGCAAGGUUGAAACUCAAAGGAAUUGACGGGGGCCCGCACAAGCAGUGGAGUAUGUGGAUUAAUUCGAAGCAACGCGAAGAACCUUACCAGGUCUUGACAUCGUAUGCAUAGCUCAGAGAUGAGUGAAAUCUCUUCGGAGACAUAUAGACAGGUGGUGCAUGGUUGUCGUCAGCUCGUGUCGUGAGAUGUUGGGUUAAGUCCCGCAACGAGCGCAACCCUUACUGUUAGUUGCUACGCAAGAGCACUCUAGCAGGACUGCCGUUGACAAAACGGAGGAAGGUGGGGAUGACGUCAAAUCAUCAUGCCCCUUAUGACCUGGGCCUCACACGUACUACAAUGGCUGUCAACAGAGGGAAGCAAAGCCGCGAGGUGGAGCGAACCCCUAAAAGCAGUCUUAGUUCGGAUUGUAGGCUGCAACCCGCCUACAUGAAGUCGGAAUUGCUAGUAAUCGCAGAUCAGCAUGCUGCGGUGAAUACGUUCCCGGGCCUUGUACACACCGCCCGUCACGCCAUGGGAGUCGGUAACACCCGAAGCCUGUAGUCUAACCGCAAGGAGGACGCAGUCGAAGGUGGGAUUGAUGACUGGGGUGAAGUCGUAACAAGGUA
This 1443-nucleotide ribosomal RNA is filed under the name metagenome. RNAcentral's name for it is "bacterial SSU rRNA". It matches the Rfam family "Bacterial small subunit ribosomal RNA". The record is from RNAcentral.